CCACACCCUUGCACCCAACCUUGAUCCUCUGAUGGGGAAGGUCCCAGGACUUGCCAGCUGGGACAGGCCUCACCCCCAAGCGCUCUAUGCAGUACUGAGAAGCAAACCUGACAGAUUUCUCCAGAAAAGUGGCCAUCCAUGGAAUGAGUGAAAUACUCUUUCUAUUCCAGGGAUUGCAGAGGCAAAGCUAGGCUAGGUCUUGGAGGCUGGUGGAAGGCGGUGCGGGUAAGGCAGGACGCUGAUGGGAGAGACUGGUCGAAGAAAAGCCGAAAUGGAUUCUCCGUGCCUUGGAUGGAGGAAGAGGGGGGAAGUGCGAGCUCCUUCAACUCGUUCUGUCCGGUGAGGAGUGAUCCAGCUUGGGCUGACAAGAGGCUCCGGAGCCUUCAUGUUCAGUGCUUUUUUACCUGCCAAUCAAACUGCUACAAGACAACACCCUGCUCUGGCAUGGACAUAGAACCUAGAAAUUAUAUUCUCUUCAAGAUCCAUGAAAGAGAACCUGACUGCUUGCUUUGGUCUGAGAGUUCAGACAUCUCUUCUCUUAAGAAAGUCUUCAUUUCCGUUUGCUGAGUCCUCCUGUUUUGUCAUCGCUGGGCCCUGUAAGAAGUUUGCCAGGAGGUCCCCAGAAGUAGAAGGACCAUGCUCUCUAUUCUAAGCUGGCCUUGAACUCAUGACGAAUCAGAGGAUGGCCUCAAUCUGGGAUGGACAUUUCCAGCAGAGAAAUGCUAUCUAGACCAAAGACAUUGUUUUACUAUACAGCCAACGGUUCUUUAAAUGCCCGGCAACCCUCUCUUCUCCGGUGCUUGAUGGUGUGUGUGUGAAGAAGUGUUCCUAAACACCGGCACAAAAGAGUGGGCAUACAUCAAGCAUACAAGAGGUGGAGGAGAGAGGGGGCCUUGCCGAUGCCUCAGAUGAGGUGGUGGAUGAGAAAAGCAGGGGUGGAUCAGAGUAGACACAGCACUCAAAGUCUGGUUCCAUUUCCCAGAAGUAAUCGUUCAGCUUCUACGUGGUUUGUCAUUGCCAAAGUCAAGACUCAAACCCAGGCCCUGACCACCAGAGACUGUCAGUUUUCAAGCUUAAAAAAAAGAAAAGAAAAGAAAUACUUAUUUUGAUUUUCAUUUAAUUUCAUAUUACGCCCAGGAACUAUUUUAAGGAAUUUUGAGUUAUAACCUGUGACCAAAAGUCAAGUAGCAGUUUUUCUAAUGCGUCUGCAUUUGCUAUGAAGAAUCAAAACCAUGAGAGUAUUUUCAUUGCCUGGCACUUUAUAACAAGGUCAGAUUUGGUAUUAACAUGAAAGAACAUUUGAUGGUUUUUAAAGCUUCAAUAUUUAUUUUGUUCUAAAAUAAAGUACUUUUCCCCCUCUCUAUAUUCUUUGUUAUGCAUAAAGUAUUUCUAGGGUUUUUUUUUU
Molecule: long non-coding RNA, 1405 nt
Filed under: Rattus norvegicus (Norway rat)
Lineage: Eukaryota; Metazoa; Chordata; Mammalia; Rodentia; Muridae
Description: long non-coding RNA NONRATT015219
Rfam family: SOX2 overlapping transcript exon 3 (bases 180-452)
Source: RNAcentral